CCUACGGGAGACAGCAGUGAGGAAUAUUGGUCAAUGGGCUUACGCCUGAACCAGCCAAGUCGCGUGAGGGAAGACUGCCCUAUGGGUUGUAAACCUCUUUUGUCAGGGAGCAACGCCGGCUACGUGUAGCCGGACUGAGAGUACCUGAAGAAAAAGCAUCGGCUAACUCCGUGCCAGCAGCCGCGGUAAUACGGAGGAUGCGAGCGUUAUCCGGAGUUAUUGGGUUUAAAGGGUGCGUAGGCGGAAUGCCAAGUCAGCGGUAAAAUCGCGGGGCUCAACCUCGCUCCGCCGUUGAAACUGGCGUUCUUGAGUGGGCGAGAAGUAUGCGGAAUGCGUGGUGUAGCGGUGAAAUGCAUAGAUAUCACGCAGAACUCCGAUUGCGAAGGCAGCAUACCGGCGCCCAACUGACGCUGAAGCACGAAAGCGUGGGUAUCGAACAGGAUUAGAUACCCCGGUAGUC
RNAcentral lists this ribosomal RNA (460 nucleotides) under uncultured bacterium. RNAcentral describes it as "partial 16S ribosomal RNA". It matches the Rfam family "Bacterial small subunit ribosomal RNA", at positions 338 to 795 of the family's 1533-position model. The record is from RNAcentral.